GAAAGAACACUGUGUACAGAAGUUGUGCUCAGAGUGUAAGAGAUCCGUCACAAAUAAGCUUCAAAGACAAAAAGGUAGGAAAGACUGACAAAAUUAGAGGUGAUCUUAGCAUAGUCACGUGACCGUAAGCAAUGCUAACAAGCCUCCAGCUCAUGGAGACUGCGCAUGUCUAAGACUGUAUGUUCAAUAACUUCGUCACACUUGGAGUGCCUUCAGUGGUAGUUUGGCAGUGAUAUACAUGGAAGAUUAACUGACUCUUCCAGUUUCGAGUCUCUCAGGCCAAAUGAUAUAAUCUAUGAAGAUGGCUAUUUCCAGUGCGAAACACAUACACAAGCAUGCACGCAGCCUAUGCUAGUGAUUCCGCAGAGAAACAAAAUGUCUAACAGUCAGACACUUUCCAGUGUUUCAGAGAUAAAAUUUUGCCAGAAGUAAAAGUCGGCAUGCCCACGAUUGCGAAUUGUGUUAGAGUUACCAUCAUCAGAAGUACUGUUAGGACUUUGUGUAAGACACCUUCUCCAGCAUCAGUAUAUCAAUACAACUUUAGUGGAACGGUCAAUCUGCGCUCCUUAGAUAGCUUUCUAUCUGUGCUGGUCUGCUGCGACCCUGAAAUAGUGCACACGUACUCCAUGUGACCAGGAAAGAAAGUGGCCUCCCUGAAAUGUUAGCAGUAGAGGAAGCUACUUAUUGUCUGCUGCCAAAGAAAACUGUUUAAUGAUCUGUAAAAUGUAGAUUAACUUCUUGUGUUAUGAAUGUGACUGUAAGAAAUGCUUAUUUCAUUACCUAGCCUUUGAAAAAUGAAUCCUUUUGUGUUGCUAAUCACCGAGGGGAUAUAUUUUAAGCUGGUGUAAUACGCGAAAGUGUCAGAAGAAGAAAGCUAGAUUCGAAUUUGAAAACUCAGUGGCAUGGUCUUUCCCUCAAAUUCUUACAUCACACUAAGUUGCAUUUGGAGACCUUAAACACACCAACAUUAAUAACAGCUCCUGUCUCAUAGAGAAAGCAUUGAAACACUUCUCUUCACGAACAUCGAGUAUACAGAAAUUACUGUCUAAUUUUCUCGCCCAUCCACCACACAUGUGUGGACUCAAAGGUCUACCAAUGUUGCACAGAAAGUCAACAGGCUGUGUAUGCCAAUUUCAUCUGUGCAGUUAGCAAGAACUAGCCAUUAAACUAUAUAUUUAAAUGUUUUGUAAAUAGACUUUUGAUUACUACAGUUUUGUUCGAACUGCUGUCUUUUAAAAUAAUUAGACUUGAUUUGAAUUUUUUAAAUAAUCUGUUAUAUUAGAUGUUGCGUUACUGACUGUGAUUCAAUGUACACUCAGCCAUAUUCCUGUGGGAAGUAUCAAUCCUAUUGACUUUCUUGGCAUGAGCCAGAAGCUCUUAGUUUCUCUAAGGACUUUAAGUAUAAAGAUAAAAAAAAAUCAAAAUGAAAUGCUAGUGAAGAAAUAAGAAACUUAUUGUACAAAAUGUAUUUUUAAAAAUCUUAAGAUUCAUGUGAUUUACACUGCCUGUUAAUCUAGUCUCUGUGAAAUAACCACAGCAUAUUUGUUAAGACAGAAACACCAAAUAUUUACGAACUUUGUACAGCACCUUGUUAUAAUAUGUGACUUUAAAUGGUAAACAUCUCCGUUGUGAUCGUGUGAGCCCACAGAAGAAUUAUUUCUGCUGUUCUGUAAAAUCCAGCUCUCAGAAUUCAGAUUCCCUGCAGCUGCUGUAUCACCAAUAAACAAGAAUUAAUGUGAAAAAAAUAAUUUUUAAGUUUAUGAUCACUGUGCAUUUUGUUAAUGAAUUCAGAGGAUUUUAUUUUUACCGGGAAUUCUCUCAGCCAGUAAAUACAACUGUUGAUUUCAACAAUACUAUCAUUUCUGUGGUUUCUCUAUUCUUGAUACAACUACCAAAACACCGGAAGCUUGGUGCAAAGUAUGACCUGACAAAGAUACAAUCGAUGACUUUUCCUGCAUGCUGCCUGAGAUAAUAUUGUAAUUUGAAAUGUCUUAUCAAAAAAUUAUCUCCUAACCCAAACUGUAACCGGCAAUAUUUCUUAUGUGUAUAACUGAUGGUAUGUCGAUACCUAAAGCAAUGUCUGUCGUACAUGUAUGUUAUAUGUACCGUUUAAUCAUGUUAAACUGUAGUCUGUGAGACUGUCAUUGCCUGAAUUAGUCGACUGUGUAUAAGCCAUUGUGUUCACUGUUUUCCUAACCUCACCGUGUGUCCUAACACUGACUGAAAUAUAAAUGUUUGUAAAUUACUC
Molecule: long non-coding RNA, 2248 nt
Filed under: Rattus norvegicus (Norway rat)
Lineage: Eukaryota; Metazoa; Chordata; Mammalia; Rodentia; Muridae
Description: long non-coding RNA NONRATT024776
Source: RNAcentral